UAGGGAAUCUUCGGCAAUGGACGAAAGUCUGACCGAGCAACGCCGCGUGAGUGAAGAAGGUUUUCGGAUCGUAAAACUCUGUUGGUAGAGAAGAACGUUGGUGAGAGUGGAAAGCUCAUCAAGUGACGGUAACUACCCAGAGAGGGACGGCUAACUACGUGCAAG
RNAcentral lists this ribosomal RNA (165 nucleotides) under uncultured bacterium. RNAcentral describes it as "partial 16S rRNA". It matches the Rfam family "Bacterial small subunit ribosomal RNA", at positions 355 to 511 of the family's 1533-position model. The record is from RNAcentral.